AUUCCCCUAGUAACGGCGAGUGAAGCGGGAACAGCUCAAAUUUGAAAUCUGGCCCUUGGGUCCGAGUUGUAAUUUGCAGAGGAUGCUUUUGGUGCGGUGCCUUCCGAGUUCCCUGGAACGGGACGCCUUAGAGGGUGAGAGCCCCGUACGGUUGGCCACCAAGCCUGUGUAAAGCUCCUUCGACGAGUCGAGUAGUUUGGGAAUGCUGCUCAAAAUGGGAGGUAUAUUUCUUCUAAAGCUAAAUACUGGCCAGAGACCGAUAGCGCACAAGUAGAGUGAUCGAAAGAUGAAAAGCACUUUGAAAAGAGGGUUAAAUAGCACGUGAAAUUGUUGAAAGGGAAGGAUUUAUGACCAGACUUUUUCUGGGGGGAUCAUCCGGUGUUCUCACCGGUGCACUUCCCCCAGUUGAGGCCAGCAUCGGUUUCUGCCGGGGGAUAAAAGCUUCGGGAAUGUGGCUCCCUUCGGGGAGUGUUAUAGCCUGUUGCAUAAUACCCUGGCGGGGACCGAGGUUCGCGCAUUGCAAGGAUGCUGGCGUAAUGGUUAUUAAUCACCCGUCUUGAAACACGGACCAAGGAGUCGAACAUUUGUGCGAGUGUUUGGGUGUUAAACCCUCACGCGUAAUGAAAGUGAACGGAGGUGAGAGCCUUUCGGGGUGCAUCAUCGACCGAUCCUGAUGUCUUCGGAUGGAUUUGAGUAAGAGCAUAACUGUUCGGACCCGAAAGAUGGUGAACUAUGCGUGGAUAGGGUGAAGCCAGAGGAAACUCUGGUGGAGGCUCGCAGCGGUUCUGACGUGCAAAUCGAUCGUCAAAUCUGCGCAUGGGGGCGAAAGACUAAUCGAACCAUUGACCAGCGGUCAAAACAAUCACUAGGUGGUUAAGAGGGGGCCCGCGAGGGCCAUGGAGAAAAACCUAGGCUGUGCCCGGUUACCCUGUAGCUACCCUGUAGCUACCCUGUAGCCGAGCCGGCCGACACCGCUAAAAUGCGGGGACAUCCCUUUACAG
This 1001-nucleotide ribosomal RNA is filed under the name Arthrinium sp. RNAcentral describes it as "eukaryotic LSU rRNA". It matches the Rfam family "Eukaryotic large subunit ribosomal RNA", at positions 74 to 1443 of the family's 3401-position model. Lineage: Eukaryota; Fungi; Ascomycota; Sordariomycetes; Amphisphaeriales; Apiosporaceae. The record is from RNAcentral.